RNAcentral lists this ribosomal RNA (492 nucleotides) under uncultured bacterium. RNAcentral describes it as "partial 16S ribosomal RNA". It matches the Rfam family "Bacterial small subunit ribosomal RNA", at positions 29 to 507 of the family's 1533-position model. The record is from RNAcentral.
AGUGAACGCUGGCGGUAGGCCUAACACAUGCAAGUCGAACGGCAGCACAGUAAGAGCUUGCUCUUACGGGUGGCGAGUGGCGGACGGGUGAGGAAUACAUCGGAAUCUACUUUUUCGUGGGGGAUAACGUAGGGAAACUUACGCUAAUACCGCAUACGACCUACGGGUGAAAGGAGGGGAUCUUCGGACCUUGCGCGAUUGAAUGAGCCGAGGUCGGAUUAGCUAGUUGGCGGGGUAAAGGCCCACCAAGGCGACGAUCCGUAGCUGGUCUGAGAGGAUGAUCAGCCACACUGGAACUGAGACACGGUCCAGACUCCUACGGGAGGCAGCAGUGGGGAAUAUUGGACAAUGGGCGCAAGCCUGAUCCAGCCAUACCGCGUGGGUGAAGAAGGCCUUCGGGUUGUAAAGCCCUUUUGUUGGGAAAGAAAAGCAGCAGGUUAAUACCCCGCUGUUCUGACGGUACCCAAAGAAUAAGCACCGGCUAACUUCGUG